Pristionchus pacificus is the source of this 61-nucleotide non-coding RNA. The record is from Rfam. NCBI's taxonomy places the organism in Eukaryota, Metazoa, Nematoda, Chromadorea, Rhabditida, Neodiplogasteridae.
UCUUCAUUUCACGUGAUCUCUCGCCUCUCUGACCGGUGAGAGAGUGUGGGAAAUGAAGAGA